This is a long non-coding RNA of Harpia harpyja (harpy eagle), 2433 nucleotides long. RefSeq lists it as uncharacterized. The record is from RefSeq and is a predicted model, not a curated record. The transcript has 2 exons. Lineage: Eukaryota; Metazoa; Chordata; Aves; Accipitriformes; Accipitridae.
CCUCAAAAAAAAAAAAAAAAAAAGGCAGACAAGGAUGGAUUCCAAGCCGAUAUAGCUAAAUAACUGCCCUGCACUGCAUGAACGACCCUGUCCAUCACGCUCACUACGUCAACAUUUUUCCAAACAUAGAAGCACAUGAGAAACGACAGCAAGUCUACCAAGAUUCAUCUCCCCUAAAGAAAACCCAAUCUGCUUUAACGCGACCACCACACAAGCCGAAGAAAUGACAGUUUCCAGUAAAACCCAAACCCGCUGGUGUGGUAUCACGCUCUCCCUCUCGGAGCCACGCAGGGCAUCGGCCCCAGCCUGGGGUUCGCCGCAGGGACACACCGACACUGAACUACAACGCUGAAGCUUUGGGUUCUGAAGUUCGCAAAUCGUGCUAAAGAGAGCAUUCAACAUACCGGGAGAAAGCGUAGCUCCCCGGCACAUGGCACACCAACGCUAGCGGCAGCGAGUGGGAGGGAAAAGGGGCAGGAAAGAAGAUAUGUGAAUUUUGAAAUUCAAAGAUAGCAGGGGGGGUUAAAGUAAACUUAACCUAGCAACACCCUACUAAAAGAUGAAACACCUUUCGCCCAUACAAGAAUACUGUGAAAUUUUGAAAACUGUUUUUAUUUUAAGCAUUCCGGAAGGUCGGUAUUCAGUAACAGAAAAUACAGGCAUUCAGAUUUCUCUCGCAAUAAAUAGAAGGAGGAAGAAAAUACUAAUUUUUGAGUGACGUUUUCUUGAAAUCCAACUAACUUUUCUGCUGCUACUGGUGUACCCGGUAAGUCUGAAGCUGCGGUUAUGGCCAGCAUGAGUUACCUUCCCCCUCCCCAUCACAUUUUGUGUAACAUUCUGCUGGUAGAAGAACAGCACAUUUCCAACCAAGGAGAGGAAAAAAUCACACACGUACAUAAGAAAUGCAUGAAAAAAGUGCAGCCGGUAAAUUUUGCCAGUGGUACAACAUUAAUUUAGAAAUACAUACAUCUUUACCUGCUUACAUGUAUAUGCAGUAUUUAAGUGGAGAGUGGGGACACAUUGGCAGUUUAGACCAUGGUGGAGUGUCAGCAUGACUGCAGUCAGGUAUGGGCUCUUCAGCUGAUGCACAACAAAAAGGGUGCAGGGAAAGAUGAGGAAGAGGAGUUGAAUGAAUAAAUGGGUUAUUCCUCACGUUUAAAAUCCUUGGUGGCCAACUGAAGUCCUUCCACGGUGGAAUCAAAGCGAGAAGUUUCUGAAAUAAAAAAAAGAAGAGAUUCUGCUGAAAUGCCACAACAGUACAGACUGCAGAAAGACUAACGGUUGCAAAUCCCACCCUCAGACUGAGAAAAGUUCACCCAUCUGAUAUUUUUAAAAGUCUCUUUCUUUCUCCUACUCAGCUGUUGGUUAUUUCUUUAAAAAGUUAAGAAGAACAGAGAGGAAGCAGAUGACGGAAAGUAAAGGAAAAAUAAAAAAUGCAAGGAGAAUGGAAAAGGAAGAGAAGAAAACACGGAUGUCAAAACUAGAGACAGUAAGGACCUAGCAAUCUCAAGGCUGAAAAAUAAGGAGAAGAGUAACACAGCAUAAUUUUUUUUUCUCUACAUGUCACAAACACUACAUAAUGAACAGCCGUUCAACCGAUACUACUAUAGCAUAGCUACAUCUCAUAAUUGUUUUGUUACGUUGCAAAUUUUUUCCCAUUCCAUUCACUCAGGACCUCACAGGCCUCCAAGUUAUGGAAUUCACGUGAGGCACCAGGACAACCUGAUGGUUAGUCUUUCCUGAGAGCUCCAGAAACACUGUUCUGGGCAGCUCUUAUUCCCCCUGGUAAUUAUACUCUCUGCUUAAGUAAAUUUUAGGCCAGGUUUUCCUGGUAAGCGCUGUAAAAGGCAGGUGAGGUUUUCUGGUCAUAAUUCUGUACACUUUUUCACGCUUCAUUUUCUUUAAAAUUAGUGGUUAAAUGUCAAAGGAUAGAGAAAAUAUUUUUUUAUUAUUGUUGUAUCAAAGCAGCAAGUGGAAGAGGUUUGACCAUGCGAUGGUAUUUUCUGCGGCAAUACUGGAAGACUGCUUUACUCUGCUUUGUAUCUUUUAGAUUAUUUUUUCCAUGCUGGCCCUAAGACAGUCCUGUCUGUCCUAGUUCUACAUUCCUGCUCCUUUGCCCGUGUCCUGCUAAUCGCAUGGCUCAGACUGAAAACUUUCUGGAUGUCUUCAUGCAUUGGAUGAUGGAGCUGAACUGCCUCACUCUCUGGCUGCGGAAGCAUCGCAUCCAGCAAAGGGAAGUGACGGGAAUAGCACAGCCAGGGAAAGGAGGAGAGAUAACAUGUCAUCGAGAGAUUUGUCUCAUCAAAACCACGACCAUACUGGGCUGUCAUGGAGGAAGUCUUCCUGCAGUGAGUGACUGACCGCUAUGCUUCAAAAAGAAACAUGCCCGCUUUUAUUUUGCCGUAGUCCUGCAGAUAAAUGCUUAAACUGACA